Long non-coding RNA from Xiphophorus hellerii (green swordtail), 1654 nucleotides. RefSeq lists it as uncharacterized. The transcript is spliced from 2 exons. The record is from RefSeq and is a predicted model, not a curated record. Lineage: Eukaryota; Metazoa; Chordata; Actinopteri; Cyprinodontiformes; Poeciliidae.
GGUUUUAUUUCCUCUGAUUCUGGUUCAUCAGUUCCUUUAAAUCUUCAUUUGAUCAGCAGAAGAAGAAAGAUUAAAAGGUUGAUAACGAAACGGAGCUGAACCAGAUUCCUGUUGGCUGUUCUGGGAAUAAUCCAGAUGUUUCUGAAACAGCUGCAGGUUAUUAUUGUCCAUUUGAAUACAUAAAUAACGUUACAGACUCUGUUCUGCUGCUGCAACGUUUCGUUUCUUCUGGGAUAGAUGUGAAGACGAUCUCAGGAGGCUUUGCUGUCUCUCUGAUUUAACAAACACUCGACUCACUUCCUGCAGAUUAUUUUUAGUUGACUGGGAGGUGAGAAAACUUUUCUUAUGACCCAGAAAACGAUUUAAUCUGAAGCUCUGUCCGCCAUCUUUACUGAUGUCAGCGUCAUCAACGCUCCAGGAACCUGUUCAGAGGAAUGGAUUGUUUUAGAGCUGGAACCAGUUUCUCAGGAGUUUUCAGUCUGCAGAUAUUUUCUCCUUCCUCUCCAGAACGGAGAAGGAAAACUGAACUCCCAUCCCGGCUGCGACGCUGCGUCUGAAUCAAUACCAGGGGAGAGAUUUUCCGUCUCAGUGGCCGUUAGGACGCCGUCGGGGAGAUUUAUGUGAUUGUGAGAGUUUGAGGUUGGCGACCGCGAGGCAGAGAGGAAGACGGAUCCUGACAGAGGAGAUCCUGGGUUUCAUUUCCAGUCGGUCGUUGAUGAAACCAGUCAAACCAGAGCCGCUCCUCCCAGUAGGACCAGGCUGUAAGCUGCGCUCGCCGCGGCGUUUCCUCACGCUGCCCUACAAAUCAAACCGUACGGAGUUACAGGGCGGCCAUUAUGCAAAUGAGACGCCGGGGGAGGAAGAGGAGGAGGAAGCAGCUGCUCUGAUGGGACGGAAACAUCUGGACCCGGAUUCGCCGCCAGACAGAAAAAAUUUUAAAAAAUCAUUUAAACACGAACAAGCUGGAUAUUUUCCUGCUUGUUAACAAAUCAGUGGUGAAUAUUUCACACCAGCAGAGCAGCGAACACGUCCAGAAUGUUUCAUUCAACUUCUGAAAGGUCAGCAGGCUCCAUCAGAGCUAGCGGGGUCAGAGGUCACAUGUAAAGGCCGUUAGCUUGGCUGAAAAUCUUCUGCUUUUCACAGUAAAUUGAUGAACAAAUGAAACCAGAACAGGAAAUGACAUCAUGUCACCCUGCAUCAGGCAGACAUGCCGAAGGACUGCUGGUGACCUCUGACCUCCACCUGCUGUUCCCACUGACUGUUGGUUGCUCAGGUAACCGCCUGAUGACGCCACAACGUCCUGGGAUUUUCAUCCUGAUAAAAAAAAUCACAAAUUGAUACGAAAGUAAAAUUUCACUCAACAUUUUAAUCUUUUGUAUAAAAUUAUUAUUUCAAUCACUCAGAUUACAACUUUUAUUCUUUGAUGACAAGUUUAUUUCUGUAAUAUUUUGAGUUUAUUUCUGUAAUAUUUUGAGUUUAUUUCUGUACUAUUUUGAGUUUAUUUUUGUAUAUUUUGCAUUUUUUCUGACGUUAUUCCAACGUUAUUCUUCUAACAUUAGGACUUUUUGUCAAAUAACUUUAUUCUGGUAAUUUUAUGACUAUAGUUGUAUUAUGUUUUUUUCUCGUGUUAUUACAACUUAUUAUUUUGGACUUA